AGUCUAAUGAAUAUUUAAACUAGAUCCAUCCUGCUCAAUGGUUACUUACAACUAAAUGGCCGCAGUACUUUGACUGUGCUAAGGUAGCAUAAUAACUUGGCCAAUAAUUAUGGUCUGGAAUGAAAGGGUUCACCUAUGAAAAACUGUCUUAUAAAAGAUAUAUUGAAAUUAUUAAUCAGGUGCAAAUACCUGUAAAUAUUAUAAUAGACGAGAAGACCCUUAGAGUUUUAAUUAUAAGUCCUAUAUACAUUUUUGUUGGGGCAACAUAGGAAUAAUCACCUUCCUAAUAAUAAAUUUAACAAAAUAAAUGUUGUUUAAGUUGGGUAUAACUACCUAAGGGAUAACAGCAUUAUCUUAAAUAAGGAUUGUGACCUCGAUGUUGGAUUAGGUUAAGUUAACAUUAGUAAUGUUAAUUAGUGGUUCUGUUCGAACUUAUCCACCU
This 442-nucleotide ribosomal RNA is filed under the name Corilla adamsi. RNAcentral's name for it is "partial 16S ribosomal RNA". It matches the Rfam family "Archaeal large subunit ribosomal RNA", at positions 1921 to 2666 of the family's 2987-position model. The record is from RNAcentral. Lineage: Eukaryota; Metazoa; Mollusca; Gastropoda; Stylommatophora; Corillidae.